Molecule: antisense RNA, 68 nt
Filed under: Nonomuraea coxensis DSM 45129
Lineage: Bacteria; Bacillati; Actinomycetota; Actinomycetes; Streptosporangiales; Streptosporangiaceae
Description: ASdes TB sRNA
Rfam family: ASdes TB sRNA
Source: RNAcentral
AGCGCGACGGGGUCGACCGCGCGGGUCACGGUGAGGUAGUCGCGGAUGGCGGUGCCGUGCCGGUCCUC